This 305-nucleotide long non-coding RNA is filed under the name Capsella rubella. RNAcentral's name for it is "long non-coding RNA (CRUB_LNC004319)". Lineage: Eukaryota; Viridiplantae; Streptophyta; Magnoliopsida; Brassicales; Brassicaceae. The record is from RNAcentral.
UGGUGGUGGAGGCUGUUACAUGUGCUUCACUAGUUAUAUAUACGUAGAGAAGAUAGGGUGCAGUGGUAAACCCUUCUUUCCUUAAUACGCAUGCAAUGUGUGUGUGUGUGUGUGUGUGUUUUUAAAGUUUGUAACGCCAUCACUAAAUCUUAUCUAAACCUCAUCACAUUAAGAUACAUUUCCUUCUUAACAACAAUUAAAAAAAAAAAAGUUGACUAUUAAGAUAUCUUUCCUUCUUAAAAUAAGCAAUAAAAAGUUGAAUCUUUACACUUUUGUUUCACCAAUAAUCAUUUUUCUCUUUUUUU